Molecule: ribosomal RNA, 429 nt
Filed under: Salmonella enterica subsp. enterica serovar Infantis
Lineage: Bacteria; Pseudomonadati; Pseudomonadota; Gammaproteobacteria; Enterobacterales; Enterobacteriaceae
Also listed under: 9 other names
Description: partial 23S ribosomal RNA
Rfam family: Bacterial large subunit ribosomal RNA
Source: RNAcentral
UGCGAGCGUGACGGCGCGAGCAGGUGCGAAAGCAGGUCAUAGUGAUCCGGUGGUUCUGAAUGGAAGGGCCAUCGCUCAACGGAUAAAAGGUACUCCGGGGAUAACAGGCUGAUACCGCCCAAGAGUUCAUAUCGACGGCGGUGUUUGGCACCUCGAUGUCGGCUCAUCACAUCCUGGGGCUGAAGUAGGUCCCAAGGGUAUGGCUGUUCGCCAUUUAAAGUGGUACGCGAGCUGGGUUUAGAACGUCGUGAGACAGUUCGGUCCCUAUCUGCCGUGGGCGCUGGAGAACUGAGGGGGGCUGCUCCUAGUACGAGAGGACCGGAGUGGACGCAUCACUGGUGUUCGGGUUGUCAUGCCAAUGGCACUGCCCGGUAGCUAAAUGCGGAAGAGAUAAGUGCUGAAAGCAUCUAAGCACGAAACUUGCCCCGA